AGAGUUUGAUCCUGGCUCAGAACGUACGCUGGCGGCACGCCUAACACAUGCAAGUCGAACGAAGUAGUAAUACUUAGUGGCAGACGGGUGAGUAACAUGUAGGUAUCUGCCCUUUGGCCUGGAAUAACACGAGGAAACUUGUGCUAAUACCGGAUAAGUCUUUACGGAGAAAGCUUUAUGCACCAUUGGAUGAGCCUGCACUUGAUUAGUUUGUUGGUGGGGUAACGGCCUACCAAGACUGUGAUCAAUAGCUGAUUUGAGAGGAUGAUCAGCCACAUUGGGACUGAGACACGGCCCAAACUCCUACGGGAGGCAGCAGUGGGGAAUCUUGCACAAUGGAGGAAACUCUGAUGCAGCGAUGCCGCGUGAGUGAAGAAGGCCUUUGGGUUGUAAAGCUCUUUCGUCGGGGAAGAAAAUGACUGUACCCGAAUAAGAAGGUCCGGCUAACUUCGUGCCAGCCGCCGCGGUAAUUC
Molecule: ribosomal RNA, 473 nt
Filed under: uncultured bacterium
Lineage: Bacteria
Description: bacterial SSU rRNA
Rfam family: Bacterial small subunit ribosomal RNA
Source: RNAcentral